GACGAACGCUGGCGGCGUGCUUAACACAUGCAAGUCGAACGGAAAGGCCCUGCUUUUGUGGGGUGCUCGAGUGGCGAACGGGUGAGUAACACGUGAGUAUCCUGCCCUUGCCUUUGGGAUAACUUCAGGAAAUUGGGGCUAAUACCGGAUAGGAGCUCCUGCUGCAUGGUGGGGGUUGGAAAGUUUCGGCGGUUGGGGAUGGACUCGCGGCUUAUCAGCUUGUUGGUGGGGUAGUGGCUUACCAAGGCUUUGACGGGUAGCCGGCCUGAGAGGGUGACCGGCCACAUUGGGACUGAGAUACGGCCCAGACUCCUACGGGAGGCAGCAGUGGGGAAUAUUGCACAAUGGGCGGAAGCCUGAUGCAGCAACGCCGCGUGCGGGAUGACGGCCUUCGGGUUGUAAACCGCUUUCGCCUGUGACGAAGCGUGAGUGACGGUAAUGGGUAAAGAAGCACCGGCUAACUACGUG
RNAcentral lists this ribosomal RNA (468 nucleotides) under uncultured bacterium. RNAcentral's name for it is "partial 16S ribosomal RNA". It matches the Rfam family "Bacterial small subunit ribosomal RNA", at positions 28 to 507 of the family's 1533-position model. The record is from RNAcentral.